GUGAACGCUGGCGGUAGGUCUAACACAUGCAAGUCGAACGGCAGCACAGUAAGCGCUUGCUCUUACGGGUGGCGAGUGGCGGACGGGUGAGGAAUACAUCGGAAUCUACUUUUUCGUGGGGGAUAACGUAGGGAAACUUACGCUAAUACCGCAUACGACCUACGGGUGAAAGCAGGGGAUCUUCGGACCUUGCGCGAUUGAAUGAGCCGAUGUCGGAUUAGCUAGUUGGCGGGGUAAAGGCCCACCAAGGCGACGAUCCGUAGCUGGUCUGAGAGGAUGAUCAGCCACACUGGAACUGAGACACGGUCCAGACUCCUACGGGAGGCAGCAGUGGGGAAUAUUGGACAAUGGGCGCAAGCCUGAUCCAGCCAUACCGCGUGGGUGAAGAAGGCCUUCGGGUUGUAAAGCCCUUUUGUUGGGAAAGAAAAGCAGCAGGUUAAUACCCCGCUGUUCUGACGGUACCCAAAGAAUAAGCACCGGCUAACUUCGUG
This 491-nucleotide ribosomal RNA is filed under the name uncultured bacterium. RNAcentral's name for it is "partial 16S ribosomal RNA". It matches the Rfam family "Bacterial small subunit ribosomal RNA", at positions 29 to 507 of the family's 1533-position model. The record is from RNAcentral.